This 560-nucleotide long non-coding RNA is filed under the name Coccomyxa subellipsoidea. Its description in RNAcentral is "long non-coding RNA (CSUB_LNC000529)". Lineage: Eukaryota; Viridiplantae; Chlorophyta; Trebouxiophyceae; Coccomyxaceae. The record is from RNAcentral.
CCUUGACGUUUCAGCUUGGCAUUCGGUUGUUUGCGGCCACCAUGACCUCUGAUUCUGCUGCAUGAAAAACAGGCCAGGGCGUCAGGAGAAUUGGCAUCAGGGCACUGCUUGCAAAGUUGACCAUCUGACGAAAUUGCUCCUAAGAAUCUUCAGCACCUGCAAAUGGCUUCCCUUCUCGCUGAUGUUCUCAGGUGCCUUGUUGGCUUCCACAGAGCGGCACAUGAGUGAGGGCGGUACUGCCCUUGAAUCCUGCAAAAGAAAAAUCACAGCAGAAAAUCUCAGAUCUCUAACACCCGUGAAGGGUAGGGAAAGCCUUAAUGAUUCACAGAGCUGUCUGAUAGGCAUCAUUGCCCUAAACCUGAGAAUUGGAGGUCCCCUCUCCUUCCGUCUUCUGCAAGGGAUGGCAUUCGCCAGUGGUGCCACUCAGUUGCCAUAUACUGUUGGGAUCCUCCUCAGGCAUCAAUAUCCAAUGCGCUGGGUGCCUGCAUAAUGCUUCCCCAUCUAUAGAAGUUCCUCGUCAAGGAAGCACGAUGUCUGUGCUGGGAGAUGCAGGUCCAAGG